Molecule: ribosomal RNA, 549 nt
Filed under: uncultured bacterium
Lineage: Bacteria
Description: bacterial SSU rRNA
Rfam family: Bacterial small subunit ribosomal RNA
Source: RNAcentral
UGGGGAAUUUUGGACAAUGGGCGCAAGCCUGAUCCAGCCAUGCCGCGUGUCUGAAGAAGGCCUUCGGGUUGUAAAGGACUUUUGUCAGGGAAGAAAAGGGCGGGGUUAAUACCCCUGUCUGAUGACGGUACCUGAAGAAUAAGCACCGGCUAACUACGUGCCAGCAGCCGCGGUAAUACGUAGGGUGCGAGCGUUAAUCGGAAUUACUGGGCGUAAAGCGGGCGCAGACGGUUACUUAAGCAGGAUGUGAAAUCCCCGGGCUCAACCUGGGAACUGCGUUCUGAACUGGGUGACUAGAGUGUGUCAGAGGGAGGUAGAAUUCCAUGUGUAGCAGUGAAAUGCGUAGAGAUGUGGAGGAAUACCGAUGGCGAAGGCAGCCUCCUGGGAUAACACUGACGUUCAUGCCCGAAAGCGUGGGUAGCAAACAGGAUUAGAUACCCUGGUAGUCCACGCCCUAAACGAUGUCGAUUAGCUGUUGGGCAGCAUGACUGCUUAGUAGCGAAGCUAACGCGUGAAAUCGACCGCCUGGGGAGUACGGUCGCAAGAUUA